Molecule: ribosomal RNA, 487 nt
Filed under: uncultured bacterium
Lineage: Bacteria
Description: bacterial SSU rRNA
Rfam family: Bacterial small subunit ribosomal RNA
Source: RNAcentral
GAUGAACGCUAGCGGCAGGCCUAAUACAUGCAAGUCGAGCGGAGUAGCAAUACUUAGCGGCGGACGGGUGCGUAACACGUAUGUAAUCUGCCUACUACUGGGGGAUAGCCUGUGGAAACACGGAUUAAUACCCCAUAACACCUUUUGAAGGCAUCUUUAGAAGGUUAAAGCUCAGGCGGUAGUAGAAGAACAUGCGUCUGAUUAGCUAGUUGGCGGGGUAACGGCCCACCAAGGCAACGAUCAGUAGCUGGUCUGAGAGGAUGAUCAGCCACACGGGCACUGAGACACGGGCCCGACUCCUACGGGAGGCAGCAGUAGGGAAUAUUGGUCAAUAGACGCAAGUCUGAACCAGCCAUGCCGCGUGCAGGAAGAAGGCGCUCAGCGUUGUAAACUGCUUUAGAUGGGGAGCAAAAAGCUCAUGCGUGAGCCAUUGAGAGUACCCAUAGAAUAAGCACCGGCUAACUCCGUGCCAGCAGCCGCGGUAAUC